RNAcentral lists this long non-coding RNA (3332 nucleotides) under Setaria viridis. RNAcentral's name for it is "long non-coding RNA (SVIR_LNC002901)". Lineage: Eukaryota; Viridiplantae; Streptophyta; Magnoliopsida; Poales; Poaceae. The record is from RNAcentral.
CAGGCCAAGGGGCGGUAAAGAUUGCUGUGGACAUGGUUAAUGAGGGUCUUGUUGAGCGCCGUCAAGCGAUUAAGAUGGUAGAGCCAGGCCACCUGGACCAGCUUCUCCAUCCUCAGGUAAUGGAUAACCAUGAGGCCCGUAAACUGAUUGUGCCUUACUUGAAAUUCAGUACUCUUAUAAGUUUGGCCUUACUUGGAAUUCACUUUAUAAGUUAAGUACUGGAUAUGUAUUAACAUCACUGUUUUAAUCUUGUCCAAUGAAAACCAGUUUGAGAACCCAUCAGCAUACAAGGAUCAAGUAAUCGCUACAGGCUUACCAGCUUCACCUGGGGCUGCUGUGGGCCAAAUUGUAUUUACUGCAGAGGACGCUGAAGCAUGGCAUGCCCAAGGGAAAGCUGCUAUCCUGGUAAACACCAUUUUAUCCUCAUUUUUAAGAAAAAAAGGUCUUCUGCAGUUUUUGUGUCAUUUUGAUCUGGACUUUGUGCUUCGAUGAAAAGAUCUGUUAAUUGAGCAAAACUGGUCUAUUUACUGGACCUGUUAGAAUAGUUGCUUGCAGAGUUACAGUCACAAAAAUCCCACUUAUCACAGACAGCCAUUUUUGAAAUGCAUAUGGAAGCUCCAAGUCGUAUCGCUUCAUCUUUUGCAUUCUGAGAAUUUUUUCUUUGCAAAUAUAUAGGUGAGGACAGAGACCAGCCCAGAGGAUGUUGGUGGCAUGCACGCAGCUGUUGGAAUUCUUACAGCAAGAGGUGGGAUGACCUCUCAUGCUGCUGUGGUAGCACGUGGUUGGGGAAAAUGUUGUGUCUCAGGAUGCUCAAGCGUUCUCGUAAAUGAUGCUGAGAAGGUGAAUAGAAUUCUUGUUUGCACAUCUUCUUCUUUGUAGAAGGUGACAUGCCAUGUUAAAGUUUGUAACAGGAUUAUGACAUUCUUUGUAGAUGUGCUCCGUCCGCCAUUUUUAAGUUCUUAUUAACGAGAUUUUGAGGAUGUAGAUGUUUCCUUACUUUGCUAUGUCUACAUUUACAGUCUGUAGUGAUUGGAGACAAGGUGAUGCAUGAAGGUGAGUGGCUAUCACUGAAUGGAUCUACUGGUGAAGUCAUCGUGGGGAAGCAGCCACUUUCCCCACCAGUCCUCAGUGGUGAUCUGGGAACCUUCAUGUCCUGGGUAGAUGAAGUUAGGCAACUGAAGGUAAAUUCCUAGAAAUAACAAAUAUGUAAUAUUAGUUAAAACAUGGAUACAAACUGUUGGAAGUAGAAACCAACAAAAAGGGCAUCAGAUUAUUUAUUCAGACAGGCCAAAGCUAGUCAACCCCACUACACAUUUUUCAACAGAAAUGCUUAUUCGUACAUAUGAUCCACCUUCCAGGUUUUGGCUAAUGCGGAUACCCCUGAGGAUGCACUGACAGCAAGAAACAAUGGGGCAGAAGGAAUUGGACUAUGCCGGACGGAGCACAUGGUAUGUAUUUUAGUUACUGUCCAAUAUCUUUUGGGUGGGAUCUUGGAAAACUUACUCUUUCUUGAAUUCCUUCGUCGAACAGUUGGGUAAACUUUAAGGACCUCCCGUUCUAGUCUCAUGUUCUCCUUUUCUGCACUUUGGCAGUUCUUUGCUUCGGAUGAGAGGAUUAAGGCUGUGAGGCAGAUGAUUAUGGCUCCCACACUUGAACUGAGGCAGAAGGCACUAGAUCGUCUUUUGCCUUAUCAGAGGUCUGACUUUGAAGGCAUUUUCCGUGCUAUGGAUGGUAUGUGAAAAUCACGAUGCAUUCAUUUACAUGCUCUCCAAUUGAACUGGAUGCACUAGUGUUACUGAACAUAACAAGAGUAAGCAACCUUCUUAAAUAGACAACAUUGACUACUAAUGUAAAGUGAAAAGGUAGACAAGUUUUAAACCUUAGGAUGCAAAAUACUUCAAAAAUAAGAACGAAAUUGGGCCAGUAACAUAUUGCAUCAAUUAUUUAACUUGGUAACAUAAAGUUCUGCUAUGAUUUAUCCAUUAGUUUUUUUUAAUCUUUUAUAGCGAGUGGUAUAUGUACAUGUUUCAUGGAAACAGAUAUAGAAUUAAACUACUAGAAUAAAUUUUAACAUGUAUUGUAGUUAGUUCCACAGUAUGUAUUUUAAAGUGCGGAAUGGAUUUGAACAUUAUUUUUUUUGCAUUUCAGGGCUUUCAGUGACUAUUCGGCUUCUGGACCCCCCACUUCAUGAGUUUCUUCCUGACGGGAAUGUUGAAGACAUUGUGCGUGAAUUAUGUUCUGAAACUGGAGCCAAUCAGGAGGAAGCCCUUGCAAGAAUUGAAAGUCUUUCAGAAGUAAAUCCAAUGCUUGGUUUCCGUGGGUGCAGGUUGGUUUUUGUGCUCCGUUUAAAUCAGUCACCCCCCCUCCUUGAUCCAUUUGGUUCCCUUGUUAGUGAAAUAUUAAAAAGAAUAAACUCUGUAUAUUUACCUCGACUAAUAUUGGAACUGCUAAAAUUCCAGGCUCGGUAUAUCAUAUCCUGAGCUAACAGAAAUGCAAGCCCGUGCCAUCUUUGAAGCUGCUAUAGCGAUGACCAACCAGGGUGUUCAAGUUUUCCCAGAGAUAAUGGUUCCUCUUGUUGGGACACCUCAGGCAUGCAUCUUUAUUUCCUUAUUUGUGCAUAUGGUAUCUCUGCAGUUCAUGGUGUUCAAAAUGACAAAAUCAAAAUUGAAUAAACAACCAAGUUCUGUACACAUGUAAUUUACGAUUUUAUGCAAACAUCAAGUUGACCUACACCCAAUUUCCCACCAAAUUCAUUUCUUGAAAUUUUCUCUCUCGAAUUCUAAGUUUAUUGCUUUCACUUGAUUUUUCCUUCAGACAUCUGACAUUUGACUUUUGCAGGAACUGGGGAAUCAAGUGGCCCUUAUCCGUGAAACUGCUAACAAAGUUUUCGCUGCUCUGGGUAAAACCAUUGACUACAAAAUUGGAACUAUGAUUGAAAUUCCGAGGGCAGCUCUAGUAGCUGAUGAGGUAGGAAGCAUCUAACUCCCUUCAGAAUAAUCUUAAAUAUUGCUGUUUAGGUUUAGCUUUUAGAUCAUAUUUUUCAUGAAUGGUUUAGUAAUAGAACCCCGGAUUUUUACUCUAAAACAUGUGAAUAGUAACUGAUGGUAUGAAUUUAUUAAGUGCAAAUAAUAAGUUUAUCCUCUAAUUUAAAAAAAAAACUGACAUUCUUGUUUUGGUUUCACAACCUGACAGAUAGCAGAGCAGGCUGAAUUCUUCUCUUUUGGAACGAACGACCUCACACAGAUGACAUUUGGCUACAGCAGGGAUGAUGUGGGGAAGUUUCUUCCCAUUUAUCUGUCUCAGGGUAUCCUCCAACAUGAUCCCUUUGAGGU